AAAAACUAGUUAAAACUUUUUAAUAACAUUAGAAUGUCAUACUAAAAUUACUUUAUAGUGUUUUUC
RNAcentral lists this transfer RNA (66 nucleotides) under Ixodes granulatus. RNAcentral describes it as "tRNA-Asp". The record is from RNAcentral. Lineage: Eukaryota; Metazoa; Arthropoda; Arachnida; Ixodida; Ixodidae.